RNAcentral lists this ribosomal RNA (1713 nucleotides) under Epholcis sp. B NLG-2014. Its description in RNAcentral is "partial 16S ribosomal RNA". Lineage: Eukaryota; Metazoa; Arthropoda; Insecta; Coleoptera; Scarabaeidae. The record is from RNAcentral.
UAAACUAGGAUUAGAUACCCUAUUAUUGAAAAUGUAAAGUCUUAUAUCAGAGUAGUAGUAGUUAUGUUCUUGAAAUUUUAAGGAUUUGGCGGUAUUUUAGUCUUUUCAGAGGAACCUGUUCUGUAAUUGAUAGUCCACGAUUAAUUAUACUUAUUUUAGAGAUUUGUAUAUCGUUGUAGGUGGAAUGUUUUAGAAGAAUUAUUAAAUGUUCAAGAUUUAUUAUUAUAAUGGAAAUCAGAUCAAGGUGCAGUGUAUAGAUAAGUAGAAAUGGGUUACAAUAAAUUUAUUUAGAUGGUUAAAAUAACUAACAUUAUUAUAUAAAUUGGAUUUGAAAGUAAUAUAAUUUAGUUAAAUUAUAUGAUUAAAGCUCUAAAAUAUGUACAUAUCGCCCGUCGCUCCUGCUUUAAAGUAGGAUAAGUCGUAACAUAGUAGGAGUACUGGAAAGUGUUCCUAGAUUGUCAAAUUAGAGCUUGUUAUAAAGCAUUUUAUUUACAUUAAAGAGUUAGUUGUGAAAAUCAAUUUAAUUUGAUAAUUUAUAAUUUAUAUAAUAUUAUAAAAAAAAAAAUUUUAUUAUUAUUAUUUUAUUAGAAAAUAGAUAAUUAAAUUAUAGUUUAUUAGUACCGUUAGGGAAUAGAUGAAAUAUUGGGAAGCUUAAAUUUUAAUAAAGAAGGAUUAGAUUUUUGUACCUUGUGUCUCAGGGUUUAUUAAAAAUAGAUUAAAAAUUUAAUAUUCUCGAAUUUUUAAGAGCUAAUAAUUUAUAUAUUUAAUUGUGAAAUAAAUUUUUUUAAUAGGUUAUUAGAAAUGAAACGUUAGGCGUUUAAGAAGAUAUCUAGUUUUUAAAGAAAUAAAUUUAAUUUAGUUUUUUAAGUUUAUAAUAUUAAUUUAUUAAUAUUAUAUUAUGAAAGAUAAAAAUUUUAAGGGAUAAGCUUUAGAAUUUAGUAUUUAAAAAUUAAGAUUAUUUUAUAAAAGUAAUAGAAUUAGAAGUUUUAAUUUUUUAAUGUGUUAUAAUUAAUUUUAUUUAUAUAUUAUGAUUUAUAUUAGUUUUAAAUUUUUUAUUUAAAGAAUUUAUUUAAUUUUGUUAUAAAGGUAAUUAUGAUUAAAUUAGUAUAAUUUAUUUUAAUAUUGAAUUAUAUAAUUAAGGUUAAUUUAAGGAAUUCGGCAAAGGAUUUUUCGCCUGUUUAUUAAAAACAUGUCCUUUUGAUUAUAAUUUAAGGUCUAGCCUGCCCACUGAGGAUUUAAAUGGCCGCGGUAUUUUGACCGUGCAAAGGUAGCAUAAUAAUUAGUUUUUUAAUUGAAAGCUGGAAUGAAUGGUUGGACGAGAAAAUAACUGUCUUAGUUUAAUUUAAUUAGAAUUUUAUUUUUAAGUAAAAAAGCUUAAAUUUUAUUAAAAGACGAGAAGACCCUAUAGAGUUUUAUAUUUUAGUUUUAUUAGAAUUAUAUAGUUUAUUUAUUUUUUAAUGAUUUAAAAUAUUUUGUUGGGGUGAUGGAAAAAUUUAAUAAACUUUUUUUUAUUAGUAUUCACUAAUUAGUGUUUUAUUGAUCCAUUAUUAAUGAUUAUAAGAUUAAAUUACCUUAGGGAUAACAGCGUAAUUAUUUUUGAGAGUUCUUAUCGAAAAAAUAGUUUGCGACCUCGAUGUUGGAUUAAAAUUAAUAUUUGGUGUAGGGGCUAAAUAAUUAGGUCUGUUCGACCUUUAAAAUUUUACAUGAUCUGAG